AGAGCCACGCCCCAACCAGAGCCACACCGCAACCAGAGCCACGCCCCAACCAGAGCCACGCCCCAACCAAGCCACGCUCCAACCAAGCCCCGCCUCAACAAAGCCACGACCCAACAAAGCCCCACAGCAUGGCCCCACCCCUGACGCACAGCCGCAUGCACAUGCGCAGGAUGGCCUCGCUCCUGCUGAGCUACGUGAUUUCCCCCAGCAUAGAGGUCACUGCCAUCUUUGCCACCCUCCCGGAAGGCAUAGCCGCCGUCCUCGCCACCUCCCCGCGGUGCUCAGGGUUAGUCUUGGUCCUGCCAUCCUGACCACCUGGGCCUCCACAGCGCCCCUAGUGGCCAUCAUGGACUGCUUCCCCUGGAGCAGCGAGGAGAGCCACAGGACGAGCCAAGAGAGGUAAAGGUCAACUGGCGGCCUGCACCCAGCCCUUUCUCACCGGAGGACAAUCAGACGCUCCAGGGAGAUGAGUUGAAGCAGGAUUUCAUUUACUGAGGAAGCACACACACAGCUUAUAUACUGCACAGGAGCCAAUCAGCAUAAAGGUCAGAGGGUGGAUCAAGUUCACGUGUACACCCACCCCAUAGUCUGUAAGGGAAGGCACGAGCUCUCCAUGAGGGUGGGAGAGUCCCAGACCUAUCCUGGAGGUGGUCGGCCUCUUCUGUCACCACCCACAGCACCGCCUCCUGGCUGAUCACCUGGCGCCAUGCCAGCCCCAUGUGUGGCCCCAAGACCGGGAAGGGCAGCAAGUCAUGCCCUACACCAUGGUACAGUAGCUUUCAGGUCAAGAAAUAGAAUAUUGCCAGUUCUUCAGAAGCACUGUCUCAUCCCAUCUAUAUGUUUUUAUUUAUUGAUUGUAUUUUUUUAAAUACUCUAUCAAAGUUAAUUUUGUUUAUUCUGACUAUUUUCUGUUAUCUAAGGCAUAUAUUUCAUUAACCAAGGCAUAUUUCAUUAUCUAAGGUAUAUUUGGGGGCUUGUCAUUUCCCACACAUGACAGAUGUCAGGUUUCAGAUGUUGAUUAAAGUUUAAAAUUUUAAUAAAGGCUUAGACACAUG
This is a non-coding RNA of Ictidomys tridecemlineatus (thirteen-lined ground squirrel), 1055 nucleotides long. The record is from RefSeq and is a predicted model, not a curated record. NCBI's taxonomy places the organism in Eukaryota, Metazoa, Chordata, Mammalia, Rodentia, Sciuridae.